AUUUCUUGUAAAUGAUGUUCUGAAACACCAAGCUAUAUUACUAGGAAAUGCAGAAGAGCAGAAAAAGAAAAAGUCUUUGGGAUACCAUUAAAAAGAAGAAAAUUUCAGCCUCUACAAGUCACAACAGAAGGGUUUCAAAUAUUCAGAAUGUUAAUAAAACAUUUAGUGUUUCCCAAAAAGUUGACAGAGUUAGGAGCCCACUACAAGCUUGUGAAAACUUGGCUAUGAAUGAAGGCGGUCCCCCAACAGAAAACAAUUCUUUAAUACUUGAAGAAAAUAAAAUACCCAUAUCACCUAUUAGCCCUGCUUUCAAUGAAUGCCAUGGUGCAACUUGCUUGCCACUCUCUGUACGUCGAUCUACUACCUACUCAUCUCUUCAUGCAUCAGAAAAUAGGGAACUAUUAAAUGUACACAGUGCCAACGUUUCAAAAGUUUCUUUUAAUGAGAAAGCUGUAACUGAAACUUCCUUUAAUUCCGUAAAUGUUAAUGGCCAAAGAGGAGAGAAUAGUAAACUUAGUCUUACCCCCAACUGUUCUUCAACUUUGAACAUUACACAAAGCCAAAUACAUUUUCUAAGUCCAGAUUCUUUUGUAAAUAAUAGUCAUGGAGCUAAUAAUGAACUAGAAUUAGUAACAUGUCUUUCAUCAGAUAUGUUUAUGAAAGAUAAUUCACAGCCUGUGCAUUUGGAAUCAACAAUUGCACAUGAAAUUUAUCAGAAAAUUUUAAGUCCAGAUUCUUUCAUAAAAGAUAAUUAUGGACUAAAUCAGGAUCUAGAAUCAGAGUCAGUUAAUCCUAUUUUAUCCCCUAAUCAAUUUUUAAAAGAUAACAUGGCAUAUAUGUGUACAUCUCAGCAAACAUGUAAAGUACCAUUAUCAAAUGAAAAUUCUCAAGUCCCACAGUCUCCUGAAGAUUGGAGAAAAAGUGAAGUUUCGCCACGUAUUCCUGAAUGUCAGGGUUCAAAAUCUCCCAAAGCUAUUUUUGAAGAACUAGUAGAAAUGAAGUCAAAUUACUACAGUUUUAUAAAACAAAAUAAUCCUAAAUUUUCUGCAGUUCAGGAUAUUUCUAGUCAUAGCCACAAUAAACAACCUAAGAGACGUCCAAUACUUUCUGCCACUGUUACUAAAAGGAAGGCCACCUGUACCAGAGAAAACCAAACUGAGAUUAAUAAACCAAAAGCAAAAAGAUGUCUCAACAGUGCAGUGGGUGAACAUGAAAAAGUAAUAAAUAAUC
RNAcentral lists this long non-coding RNA (1230 nucleotides) under Homo sapiens (human). RNAcentral's name for it is "long non-coding RNA NONHSAT152708.1". The record is from RNAcentral. Lineage: Eukaryota; Metazoa; Chordata; Mammalia; Primates; Hominidae.